UCGGGAGCGCCCGGAGGCGCCGGGCGGCGUUUCGAUUCGGACCCGUCCACGGGCCGAGCCGCCUGGCAGCUGUCUCCGGCGAGUCCGACGCAUUUCCUCCCGCACGGCGGACGCCGCAACCGGUUGGGUAGCUGCAAGAGUCGGCCAGAAGGAUCGGCGACGGCAGGUGGUCCGGGGAAGGCUUCGGCCCCCCC
This 194-nucleotide ribosomal RNA is filed under the name Scytodes sp. 24 YFL-2022a. RNAcentral's name for it is "partial large subunit ribosomal RNA". The record is from RNAcentral. Lineage: Eukaryota; Metazoa; Arthropoda; Arachnida; Araneae; Scytodidae.